This 450-nucleotide ribosomal RNA is filed under the name uncultured bacterium. RNAcentral describes it as "partial 16S ribosomal RNA". It matches the Rfam family "Bacterial small subunit ribosomal RNA", at positions 354 to 796 of the family's 1533-position model. The record is from RNAcentral.
GUGGGGAAUUUUGGACAAUGGGCGCAAGCCUGAUCCAGCAAUGCCGCGUGCAGGAAGAAGGCCUUCGGGUUGUAAACUGCUUUUGUACGGAACGAAACGGUCCUGGUUAAUACCUGGGGCUAAUGACGGUACCGUAAGAAUAAGCACCGGCUAACUACGUGCCAGCAGCCGCGGUAAUACGUAGGGUGCGAGCGUUAAUCGGAAUUACUGGGCGUAAAGCGUGCGCAGGCGGUGCUGUAAGACAGGCGUGAAAUCCCCGGGCUCAACCUGGGAAUUGCGCUUGUGACUGCAGUGCUGGAGGACGGCAGAGGGGGAUGGAAUUCCGCGUGUAGCAGUGAAAUGCGUAGCUAUGCGGAGGAACACCGAUGGCGAAGGCAGUCCCCUGGGCCUGUACUGACGCUCAUGCACGAAAGCGUGGGGAGCAAACAGGAUUAGAAACCCUGGUAGUCC